This 831-nucleotide long non-coding RNA is filed under the name Arachis ipaensis. RNAcentral's name for it is "long non-coding RNA (AIPA_LNC001558)". The record is from RNAcentral. Lineage: Eukaryota; Viridiplantae; Streptophyta; Magnoliopsida; Fabales; Fabaceae.
UAAGAGUUAAUUUUUUUAUCAUAUUUAUAAUAAAUAAUUAUUUUAAGGAUAAAGUAUGUUUUUUAUCCCUAACUUCAAAAAUUUUCAAAACUACUCGUAACGUUUAAUUUGAUUCAAUUUUGUCCUUAACAUUUAAAAUAAUUUCAAUUUUAUCCUUACUGUGAAAUUUUUGAGAAUCAACAGUUAGUCAAAACUCAUUUUUUCAAUUUUAACUCUCAUUCGUCUAACCUUAAUCCUAACUCAUCACUCCAAACCCAACUCCAACCCUUCACCUCACCAUUACCACCACCAUCACCAUCAUCAUCAUCAUCGUACCCACCAUUACUCUUGCAUCCCUCGUCUCAACAACAGCACACCUUACCCAAAUUAACCACAACAACCACCUACUCCAUGACACCCUUACCCACAUGACAGAGAGAGGUAGAGAACGGAAGGAAGAGAGAGGAUGGGGCACGAUCAUUGAGAGAGGAUCCACCAAACCAUCGAUAAACUUUGCCAUCGCAAUUCCUCCCUCAUCGCAAUUCCUCCAUCACCGAGCGUGAGUCCUGCUACUGUUGCCAUAAUUCACGGCUAGACCGAGUUUCCCACUCCGACCUUCGCAAGCCUCUCCCCACUUUCAUCCUCGCUUUAUGUUCGCUGCCCUCUUUGAGUUCCUCAUGCCUUUCUCCAAACUCCGAUGGUAAUGAGAUGACGAUGACAAUGAAUGGUGCCAGUUGGAAGGGAAGGGGUGCAGUAAUGAUGAGGGCGACAGUGAAGGAGGAGGUGGUGGUGAGAAGGAACGAGUGAGAAUGGGUCAGAAGAAAGGAGGUGGGAAUGAGUGGUAUUGAUGUG